RNAcentral lists this ribosomal RNA (468 nucleotides) under uncultured bacterium. Its description in RNAcentral is "partial 16S ribosomal RNA". It matches the Rfam family "Bacterial small subunit ribosomal RNA", at positions 28 to 507 of the family's 1533-position model. The record is from RNAcentral.
GACGAGCGCUGGCGGCGUGCUUAACACAUGCAAGUCGAACGGAAAGGCCCUGCUUUUGUGGGGUGCUCGAGUGGCGAACGGGUGAGUAACACGUGAGUAACCUGCCCUUGACUUUGGGAUAACUUCAGGAAACUGGGGCUAAUACCGGAUAGGAGCUCCUGCUGCAUGGUGGGGGUUGGAAAGUUUCGGCGGUUGGGGAUGGACUCGCGGCUUAUCAGCUUGUUGGUGGGGUAGUGGCUUACCAAGGCUUUGACGGGUAGCCGGCCUGAGAGGGUGACCGGCCACAUUGGGACUGAGAUACGGCCCAGACUCCUACGGGAGGCAGCAGUGGGGAAUAUUGCACAAUGGGCGGAAGCCUGAUGCAGCAACGCCGCGUGCGGGAUGACGGCCUUCGGAUUGUAAACCGCUUUCGCCUGUGACGAAGCGUGAGUGACGGUAAUGGGUAAAGAAGCACCGGCUAACUACGUG